ACCAACCGGGUGUUGGAUCAAAACCCGGCUUUAAGAAGUGCUUUCUUGAAGCAAGGCUUUGAUCCAGCACUCGGGUGGU
Marchantia polymorpha subsp. ruderalis is the source of this 79-nucleotide non-coding RNA. The record is from the annotation of a GenBank genome assembly. Lineage: Eukaryota; Viridiplantae; Streptophyta; Marchantiopsida; Marchantiales; Marchantiaceae.